UUUCCGUAGGUGAACCUGCGGAAGGAUCAUUAAUAAAUAAAGAUAGAAUGAAAAUUGAAUUCUAUCUUAAUAAUAAUCCUACCCUUUGUGAAUUUGUUUGUUUGAAAUAAUUUUUUAAAGAAAAUUAUUUAUAGUUUGUCUAUCCCUGAGAUGAUGGUUGUUGUAAAAGACAAUUUGAAGUCUUAGGGAAUAGGCUUUAUAAAUAAUUUAUUUAAAGACCUUUUUUUAAAUUAAACUUUUUGUAUUCAUUUGUCUAAAAUUUAUUUUUAAUAAUUUAAAAACAACUUUUGACAAUGGAUCUCUUGGUUCUCGCAACGAUGAAGAACGCAGCAAAAUGCGAUAAGUAAUGUGAAUUGCAGAAUACGUGAAUCAUCAAAUCUUCGAACGCCAUAUUGCACUUUUCUAGUUUACUAGAAAAGUAUGUCUGUUUGGGUAUCAGUAAAAUAUUCUCAUAAAAAUUAUUAUUUUUAUGGUUCUGAGUGUUUUACAACGAUACAAGUUGUUUCACUUUAAAUUGACUUUAUUGCCUAUCUAAUUAGGUCAAUUUUAAAAUUGGAUAAAAUUUUCCCGUAAAAAGGAAUAACUUGACAGUUUUAAAAUAAUCUAAUUAAAUGCCUUUUGUAAAAGGAAAUUUUAUUUAAAUAACUUGAUUCAAAAUCAAGAUAGAGUAACCCGCUGAACUUAAGCAUCAUCAAUAAGCGGAGGAAAAGAAACUAACAAGGAUUCCCUUAGUAACGGCGAGUGAAGCGGGAAAGCUCAAAUUUGAAAUCUUCAAGGUUUACCUUGACGAAUUGUAAGUUUAUAGAAGUGUUUUCUGGUUAGUAGAGUGGCAAAAGUUCUUUGGAAUAGGACAUCAUAGAGGGUGAGAAUCCCGUAUUUGAUCAUUCUUUCUAGCUUUGUGAUACACUUUCAAAGAGUCGGAUUGUUUGGGAAUGCAGUCCAAAAAUGGGUGGUAAAUUUCAUCUAAAGCUAGAUAUUGGCGUAGAGAGCGAUAGCGAACAAGUACCGUGAGGGAAGAUGAAAGAGACUUUGAAAAGAGAGUUAAACAGUACGUGAAAUUGUCAAAAGGGAAGCGUUUGACACCAGUGUUGUUUUUUCUUCGAAAAUCAAUUAAGAAUGUUUUAUUGUUGAGGAGUUAUGACUUCAUCGGCUUGCUCCUUU
This 1161-nucleotide unclassified non-coding RNA is filed under the name uncultured Neocallimastigales. RNAcentral describes it as "partial contains small subunit ribosomal RNA, internal transcribed spacer 1, 5.8S ribosomal RNA, and internal transcribed spacer 2". The stretch from base 648 to 1161 matches the Rfam family "Eukaryotic large subunit ribosomal RNA", at positions 1 to 516 of the family's 3401-position model. Lineage: Eukaryota; Fungi; Neocallimastigomycota; Neocallimastigomycetes; Neocallimastigales. The record is from RNAcentral.